AACGCUGGCGGCAUGCCUUACACAUGCAAGUCGAACGGCAGCGCGGGGCAACCUGGCGGCGAGUGGCGAACGGGUGAGUAAUGUAUCGGAACAUACCCUAGAGUGGGGGAUAACGUAGCGAAAGUUACGCUAAUACCGCAUACGCACUAAGGUGGAAAGUGGGGGAUCUUCGGACCUCAUGCUCAUGGAGUGGCCGAUAUCUGAUUAGCUAGUUGGUGAGGUAAAGGCUCACCAAGGCGACGAUCAGUAGCUGGUUUGAGAGAACGACCAGCCACACUGGAACUGAGACACGGUCCAGACUCCUACGGGAGGCAGCAGUGGGAAUUUUGGACAAUGGGGCAACCCUGAUCCAGCAAUGCCGCGUGAGUGAAGAAGGCCUUCGGGUUGUAAAGCUCUUUUGUCAGGGAAGAAACGGUGAGUUCUAAUAAAGCUUGCUAAUGACGGUACCUGAAGAAUAAGCACCGGCUAACUACGUG
This 476-nucleotide ribosomal RNA is filed under the name uncultured bacterium. RNAcentral's name for it is "bacterial SSU rRNA". It matches the Rfam family "Bacterial small subunit ribosomal RNA", at positions 32 to 507 of the family's 1533-position model. The record is from RNAcentral.